GACNAACGCUGGCGGCGUGCUUAACACAUGCAAGUCGAACGGUGACCCUNGGAGCUUGCUCUGAGGUGAUCAGUGGCGAACGGGUGAGUAACACGUGAGUAACCUGCCCCAGACUCUGGAAUAACCCCGGGAAACCGGAGCUAAUACCGGAUACGAGACGGAGAGGCAUCUCUACCGUCUGGAAAGUCUUUCGGUCUGGGAUGGACUCGCGGCCUAUCAGCUAGUUGGUGAGGUAACGGCUCACCAAGGCGACGACGGGUAGCCGGCCUGAGAGGGCGACCGGCCACACUGGGACUGAGACACGGCCCAGACUCCUACGGGAGGCAGCAGUGGGGAAUAUUGCGCAAUGGGCGAAAGCCUGAUGCANCNACGCCGCGUGAGGGAUGAAGGCCUUCGGGUUGUAAACCUCUUUCAGCAGGGAAGAAGCGAAAGUGACGGUACCUGCAGAAGAAGCACCGGCUAACUACGUGCCAGCAGCCGCGGUAAUACGUAGGGUGCGAGCGUUGUCCGGAAUUAUUGGGCGUAAAGAGCUUGUAGGCGGUUUGUCGCGUCUGCUGUGAAAAUCCGGGGCUCAACCCNGGACUUGCAGUGGGUACGGGCAGACUAGAGUGUGGUAGGGGAGACUGGAAUUCCUGGUGUAGCGGUGAAAUGCGCAGAUAUC
Molecule: ribosomal RNA, 661 nt
Filed under: uncultured bacterium
Lineage: Bacteria
Description: bacterial SSU rRNA
Rfam family: Bacterial small subunit ribosomal RNA
Source: RNAcentral